AUUGAACGCUGGCGGAAUGCUUUACACAUGCAAGUCGAACGGCAGCACGGGGGCAACCCUGGUGGCGAGUGGCGAACGGGUGAGUAAUACAUCGGAACGUGCCCAGUCGUGGGGGAUAACGUAGCGAAAGUUACGCUAAUACCGCAUACGAUCUACGGAUGUAAGCGGGGGACCGUAAGGCCUCGCGCGAUUGGAGCGGCCGAUGUCAGAUUAGGUAGUUGGUGAGGUAAAGGCUCACCAAGCCGACGAUCUGUAGCUGGUCUGAGAGGACGACCAGCCACACUGGGACUGAGACACGGCCCAGACUCCUACGGGAGGCAGCAGUGGGGAAUUUUGGACAAUGGGCGCAAGCCUGAUUCAGCCAUUCCGCGGGCAGGACGAAGGCCUUCGGGUUGUAAACUGCUUUUGUACGGAACGAAAAGGCUCUGGUUAAUACCUGGGGCUCAUGACGGUACCGUAAGAAUAAGCACCGGCUAACUACGUGCCAGCCGCCGCGGUAA
Molecule: ribosomal RNA, 500 nt
Filed under: uncultured bacterium
Lineage: Bacteria
Description: partial 16S ribosomal RNA
Rfam family: Bacterial small subunit ribosomal RNA
Source: RNAcentral